AGGACGAACGCUGGCGGCGUGCUUAACACAUGCAAGUCGAGCGGAAAGGCCCUUCGGGGUACUCGAGCGGCGAACGGGUGAGUAACACGUGAGCAAUCUGCCCUUAGCUUCGGGAUAGCCCCGGGAAACCGGGAUUAAUACCGAAUAUGACCUCGGCCGACAUCGGCCCUGGUGGAAAGUUUUUCGGCUAGGGAUGAACUCGCGGCCUAUCAGCUUGUUGGUGGGGUAAUGGCCUACCAAGGCGACGACGGGUAGCCGGCCUGAGAGGGCGACCGGCCACACUGGGACUGAGACACGGCCCAGACUCCUACGGGAGGCAGCAGUGGGGAAUAUUGCGCAAUGGGCGAAAGCCUGACGCAGCGACGCCGCGUGGGGGAUGAAGGCCUUCGGGUUGUAAACCCCUUUCAGCAGGGACGAAGCGAAGUGACGGUACCUGCAGAAGAAGCGCCGGCUAACUACGCGCCAGCAGCCGC
RNAcentral lists this ribosomal RNA (473 nucleotides) under uncultured bacterium. Its description in RNAcentral is "SSU rRNA". It matches the Rfam family "Bacterial small subunit ribosomal RNA", at positions 26 to 518 of the family's 1533-position model. The record is from RNAcentral.